This 325-nucleotide ribosomal RNA is filed under the name uncultured eukaryote. Its description in RNAcentral is "partial 18S ribosomal RNA". It matches the Rfam family "Eukaryotic small subunit ribosomal RNA", at positions 1470 to 1796 of the family's 1831-position model. The record is from RNAcentral.
CCCUUAGAUGUUCUGGGCCGCACGCGCGCUACACUGAUGCAUUCAACGAGCCUAUCCCUGACCGACAGGUCCGGGUAAUCUUUGAAUCUGCAUCGUGACGGGGAUAGAUUAUUGCAAUUAUUAAUCUUCAACGAGGAAUGCCUAGUAGGCGCAAGUCAUCAGCUUGCGUCGAUUACGUCCCCGCCCUUUGUACACACCGCCCGUCGCUCCUACCGAUUGGGUGUGCUGGUGAAAUGUUCGGAUCGGCCGUUUGUCGCGGUUUCCGCGUCAUGUGGCUGAGAAGUUCAUUAAACCCUCCCACCUAGAGGAAGGAGAAGUCGUAACA